Molecule: long non-coding RNA, 2277 nt
Organism: Andrographis paniculata
Lineage: Eukaryota; Viridiplantae; Streptophyta; Magnoliopsida; Lamiales; Acanthaceae
Exons: 6
Source: RefSeq, a predicted model, not a curated record
CUUACUGCAAUCAAUCGAGGAGAAUGUCGAGGUUGAACAAGUCGAGGAUGAGUACGAGGCCCUGGACGAUUCUGUGGAGGUUCGUGGCUUCUCUUUCUGCAUCUCCAAACCUUUUUCCUGCAAAGCCUUCAUGGACUUGUAAUCCUGCUGGUGUUGAGGACCUUUAAACAAACACAAAUUGAAGCACUUCUAGUUAGCAGAAGGGAAUGAAAAAGCAGAGUUGUGGUGCCUGGGUUGAAGAAGACUGAAUUGCAAAUGUUACCUUGAAGCAGCCUCUUGUGGCGGUGGCUGCUACCUCGUCGGGCAGCGAGGAAAUGGUGACGAUCAAAGAGUUGGAAAAUUCCAUUCAUGCAUCCAAUCUGCUUCUGCAGAUCUCGGCUGUCAUCUGUAAGAGGUGGAACUCUCCUAACUGACAUGUUGAAAUCUUCCUUCAAUGCCAAAGACAGAAGAAAUAAGGCAAUUAAAGCCAAGAGAUUAGCCCUGGUUCAAGAUUUCAGGGCAAUCAGAUCCUACUCAUUAUGUAAUUAUUGUAUGAACUGAAAGAAAUGAAGACAAGAAUGGACAGAGCACUUACCAUGAACUGAAAUUGUACAGAGCUGGUGAAAGGCGCCAGGAAUCAGUAAAAGGAAACUCAAGGAUUGUCCCAAAUCUCGUUUCCAACCACCAUUGAAUGCAUCAAAGCAACUGUCAGCAAGAGAUGUUUUAAUACUUCUUGGCUUUCUCACACAACAAUAUGAAUGAAUGGAGGUUAGCUCCCUGACUGUCUUUUGGCUCUCUUUUAAGGUGAGAAUGUGGGUCAGAUCCAAUGUGAAUAUGUGGGACAUCCACACUUUCUAUGGCCAUUUUCUUCCAUGCCCAUGUGGACUUUGGAGCCUCUAGAUUGGCAUGUGGACUUUGUCAGGUAAUAUUAAAUUAUUUCAUUUCUGCACUUGCAAUCCACUUCAAUCUAAACCAAUUUUCAAAACAUCUUCUUUUUCUGGAAAAUCAUCCCUAGAAAAAACCACCACAUUUUUUUCUGGAAAAAAGAAACCAAAAAAAUACUUGCAUCUUAAUUAGCUCCAUUUUCUUGAUUGGUGCAGCAUUUAUUUGCAUGCAUGUAUACACACAUACAUACAUAGGCUUUUUUAAAACAACAGUUACAGCAUUAUCAGCUGGCAAUAUUAAAUUCUGGUGAUAAAAACUUUCAAAAAAGGGGUCACAUAUAGUCAUUAAUGGGCAGUUGAAAUUUAAUCUGUUGCCUCACAUUACUUGUGCUGCCUGCCAUGGAAAAAGAUUAGCUGCUUCUGUACAAUGUCGUUGGAACUAUUCAAUGCUGGAUUUUCUCUGCAACUUCAUUUAGUAAUAACAGGGCUCUCCAGUAGUUCCUAUUAUUGUUAUUACAUUUAUAAUUUUAAAUUUUUAUCUGAACUCUUUGAUAAUCCAUGUGCACUUGAAAUGUUAUUUGGAAAUCUGUAGGAAUCCCUACUAUUUCUUGACCACUGCUGCUUACAAUACACAAAUAAUAAAUAGGAUGGAAGAUGAUAAUGACAUAUAUGUGAGUGUGUGUAGAUUAAGGGACACUAUGAUUCCCCACCUCAUCAAGGAUUGCCUGCCUCUUGCCCUUCAUCUAUUUAUUUCUUUGUGGGAUUUUUUAUAUUGAUUAAUUUUCUUCCUUAUUCUAAACAUGGCUGUCCAAGCUUCACCAGCUAGCAUUUAAAAAACCAAUUAUUGCAGUUUUGGUUAUGAAUUUUGCCAAUUCAUGCAUGAUCAUGCUUGUGGGACAUCAGGUAACAUCAAUACUACUGUUCAUUCUUAUGUUCCCAUGCUUGCCUGAGCUCUCUUUUAUUUCUUUCUUUCUUCCUAUUUGUUAUUAUUAUUAUUUUUAUUAAUUAGGGGUUUUGUAGUCACUGACUGUGAUAUGAUAUUAAUUAAGAUAUUAUUAGUCGAACUUUAAAUCUUUUGAUGUGUAGAUAUAUCAUUGGCUGCAUGUUCUUUGGUCUGAACAAAAAUUAAAGUGAUUGUUAUUGGGCAAAGGUUGCAUUAAAACCUCUUUAAAUUUCUCCACAUAAUUUUAUCCUUGUUGCUCUUUUCAUUUUAUCCUAAACUGAAAGCUGUAGAAAAAUUUAUGAGUAAUUCCAACCACUUAUCUUCUUUCAUUAUUUGAGAAUCAAUGCAAUUAAUUGGUUAUGUGUAUCCUUAGAGAAAUAUCAAUGUGAUUCCUUUACUUCCAAAAUUACUCACUCCUAUAUCUUCCUUUCAACUGUUUACUUUUGUGUAUUAAUUCACUGUAGAACUAUA